Long non-coding RNA from Gasterosteus aculeatus aculeatus (three-spined stickleback), 645 nucleotides. The record is from Ensembl. Lineage: Eukaryota; Metazoa; Chordata; Actinopteri; Perciformes; Gasterosteidae.
GAAGCUCAUAUUGAAGCGCAGGCUACGGAGAAGACGUGAAUUUACAACACUGGUUCACCCACUGAGGGACCUGGACGAGCAAGUGCACUUUCGAUACUUUCAAAGCAACUGCCGCAAAUUACGUUCUGAGCGGACCAAUCACAGCACUUGCGAUCCACGUCAACUCGACUCGCAGUUAGAUUCUUUCGGAGCUGCACGUCAGGCUACGGCGGAGGGGUCUACGUAGUUACGUAGUUACUUAAUAUGUAUAUUUUCCUUUUUUCUUUCAGAUUGUUCUUUAAUGUACUGUGGUGCUCUGGUGGUAAGUAAUAAGUUGAUGUACUUGACCGAAAAUGUAGUUGUGUUUGUGAUUUUUAAAGCUGAAAUAGGGUAUUUUCAGGUUGUCAGCUUGUAUGGGGUUGUAGAUCAUAAUGUUGAUUUCAGUUUGCUGUCUUUGCAGAUACCAUCAUGUUGAUCAAAACAUUCCUGUCAUCCAGCACCAACCAAGAUCUUUGCCACUGUGAUAAGAUGUGAGCUUUACAUGUUUUAGGUUUACUUUUGAUGCCAAUAUUUCAUGUUUACUUGGAAUAAAUAUGUAUUACAGUAUGGAUACAAUUGUCUGUGUGUUUUUCCCCCUGCAUAGAUAUGCAACACUGUGUGCAGUGU